Molecule: long non-coding RNA, 2364 nt
Organism: Pan paniscus (pygmy chimpanzee)
Lineage: Eukaryota; Metazoa; Chordata; Mammalia; Primates; Hominidae
Source: Ensembl
AUGGGAAAUGUAGUGUCACCUUCCAAUGAUGUUACCAGGAAGGACCUUGGGAACCAGCUUUUCUGUCUGCUCAUGCGCCGCCCCGCCCACUCCACCAUUUUCCUCUGGAAGUGCUCAACCCUGAGGCGGUCCUGCGGCUGGGCAGGCUUGGGGCUUGGUUCUAUGUCCCUAUGGGUCGGUGUGAGGGCGAAGAGGGACCCGUGGGCCUCUGGGGAUCCCGGGGGGCCGGACCAGUGUUCCCUAGUUGUGGGAGCAGACGCGUGGGCGCAUCGCGGGCGAGCGAGGCCUGACGUGCAGCUAUGUUUCCAGUGUCCUCUGGGUGUUUCCAAGAGCAACAAGAAACGAAUAAAUCUCUGGUGAGUUGUUUAUUUGUUCUUCACUUUGUUUUACACUGUAUUUUCUGAGUUUAUGGGUGUCUGUGAAUUGAAAAGUAGAAAUAAGUAAAACUCAGGUUGAAGGAAAUAUACAUAAAUAAGAUAAAGCUGACCUGUAGAUAUAGGCAGGUUAUAAGAGCUUAGAGUUGUCUAAGUUGGGUGCAAAUUUUCCUCUGAUCUUUCUGAUGCUGAGACAAAAAAGGCAGUCAUAUUUGUUACGUGAUUGGAAUGGAACCCGAGAAGAGAGCAUGCUGUGUUCUUGUGGGACAGGAAAGUUUGUGUGCAACAAGUCUGAACCACCACCUUCAUUGGUGACAUAGAUUAUGUGCUGGAACAUAUUUCACACCGGCCUGGCAGUAAACACUUAUAGUGUUGUGCAGUGGAAACGGUCACCUUCCGCUAAAGCAUGGCGUGUUGUGCAGUGGAAAUGGUCAUCUGCCACUAAAGCACAGUUUCCAUCGUAAGGUAUGAUCCUUGCUCAAAGAGUGUGGUCCCAAACAGCUUUUGGGAGGUCCUCCUUGAUUCAUGGAUGAGACCCGGAACAUCCUGAGGACUGAGUUAACCAUAGGUCCUUAAAUAACUCUCCACACCUUUUUCUUAGUUUAUCUCUACAUGCAGGGUGUGCAGCAGCCUGUUCAAAGUCAUAUUUUCCGGGAAACAUUUCCAGUGUUUAUUUGCGCUUUAGCCCACUCUGUGUAGUCUUAACUUAUUUCUUCUAAACUCACCAUUAACCUAAAUAAUAGUCAAAUUUAGCGGGACUGUAUUUGUCUUACUCGAGUCUUCUACCAUAGUUGAAACUGUCGUACCUGAGUGAGUUAGAGAGAAACGCCACACUUUGAGACGAAUUCAGGAGUCCUUUAUUAGCCGAUGGCUGAGAGAUGGCUAACGCACGAAAUUCUCUCGGCCCGGAAGAAGGGAAUAGAUUUACUUUUAUACUUUGGUUUAGAGAGGGGAGGGGAGAUUCCAGCUGCAGCAACUUUACAGAAGAAAAAAACAGACAAAAAAGUUUAAAAGACAGAUGGAUACAGGAAAACAAACUGUUCCCGGUGCAGGGGAUUUAAAUUCACCACAAAGUGAUAGGUGAGGGGGCUCUGGGCGUUAUCUGCUGGACAAAUGUGGUGGCUUUAUGAUACUAUCUCUGAGUAAUUUGCUGGGAACUGCCGACAUCGCUUGCCUCAGCACUUUAUCAGUUAAUUGCACUCUUUGAUAUGUUGAAAAUCAGCUUGCGCCAGUUAAAGUCCUUGAGGAAAGGGGGUGGGUAGGGAGCCCUUGAUGUCUUGUAAAUGAAGGAGCCAAAUGGAGUUUGUCUGGUUUUCUCAGCUAAAGGAGAGUCUAUUCAUGUUAAAAACAAGGUUAGCUAUCUAAGGAAGAGUCUUUUCAUGUUAAUAAAACGUUGGGUAUUACAAACCAUCUGUUCAUGAUCUAGAAAUUCUUCUGUGUUAGUUCUGUUAAAAGAAAAACUUUAAAGGAGUUUAAUUGAGCAAUAAACGAUUCACGAAUCGGACAGUCCCCAGAAUCACAGCAGAUUCAGAGACUCCAGUGCAGUCAUGUGGUGGAAGAAGAUUUAUAGACAAAAGGGAAGUGGCAUACCGAAAUUGGAAGUGAGGUACAGAAACAACUCAGUGUUUGCCUUGUUUGAACACAGUUUGAACAUUUGGCAGUGCCUGAGUGGUUGAAGUUUGUCCAUUGGGAUUGGCCAAGAUGUAGCUGUUGUUCCAGGUGCAUACUCUUAAGUUAGUUUUUCAUUCUUGUAUACUUAUUAAGGUAGGUUGCAGUUCAUCCACAAGGACUCAUAUAUAGAAUUGUGGAGUCCUUCUCAGGCCAUACUUAGUUCACUUUAACAAUGCCUUCCCUUUGGUUAUUUUCUCAAUUUUGAGAGAUUGGCCAAAAAUUCAGUCACUGGUGUCACUAUUACCAUUGCAAAUGUACUUACUUGGUUUAGAAACCCACUGGGAAAUAGACCAGUGAGAUUUGAAAAGGUGGAACAAGG